AUUGAACGCUGGCGGCAGGCCUAACACAUGCAAGUCGAGCGGGGUUUUCGGACCUAGCGGCGGACGGGUGAGUAAUGCGUAGGAAGCUGCCCGAUAGAGGGGAUACCAGUUGGAAACGACUGUUAAUACCGCAUAAUGUCUACGGACCAAAGUGUGGGACCUUCGGGCCACAUGCUAUCGGAUGCGCCUACGUGGGAUUA
This 200-nucleotide ribosomal RNA is filed under the name uncultured bacterium. RNAcentral's name for it is "partial 16S ribosomal RNA". It matches the Rfam family "Bacterial small subunit ribosomal RNA", at positions 30 to 243 of the family's 1533-position model. The record is from RNAcentral.